Molecule: long non-coding RNA, 565 nt
Organism: Vigna angularis (adzuki bean)
Lineage: Eukaryota; Viridiplantae; Streptophyta; Magnoliopsida; Fabales; Fabaceae
Exons: 3
Source: RefSeq, a predicted model, not a curated record
AGGUUUCCAUUCUUGCUUCUGAGUUUCCUUCGCUCAAGAAGUAUAGAAGCUGUGAUAUAUCACCUUCUAGUUGGUUUUCUGUGGCCUGGUAUCCAAUAUAUAAAAUACCAGUGGUAUCAUCAAUCAAGAGGGUGGAUGCAUCUUUCCUGACCUACCAUUCCCUGUCAGCUGACUCAAGAAGGAAAAACCAACUGGAGUUUAGUAGCAGGAAGGUCCGUGAUGAUGAUGAAUCCUUAAAUAUAUCUCUUCCCACUUUUGGCCUUGCCGCUUAUAAGUUGAGAGGCUCAAUACUAGCUCCUCAUAGAGACUCUGAAUGGCACAAAGUGGACUCUCUUUUGGAAGCUGCUGCUGACUGGCUACAGAAUUUGCAAGCGAACCACCCAGAUUACCUGUACUUUGUUAGCCACAGUACCUUGUACAGAUAAUGAAGAAAGAUUCAAAAUAUUCUUCCACACAUUCAGAGUCAGAGAAGCUUCUGCAUCGAGUAUAGCAUCGACAUGAAACUGAAUUGAUAUGCCGAAACAUUCUUACUAACUAUAUUCAGUAUCAGCUGUUAUUUUCGGUC